GACGAACCGAGCGAACGUUAUUCGGAAUCACUGGGCUUAAAGGGCGCGUAGGCGGACGAUCAAGUCAGGGGUGAAAGCCCCGGCUCAACCGGGGAAGUGCCUCUGAUACUGGUCGUCUCGAGGGAGGUAGGGGCGUGCGGAACUUCCGGUGGAGCGGUGAAAUGCGUAGAUAUCGGAAGGAACACCGGUGGCGAAAGCGGCGCGCUGGACCUCUUCUGACGCUGAGGCGCGAAAGCCAGGGGAGCGAACGGG
This 252-nucleotide ribosomal RNA is filed under the name uncultured bacterium. RNAcentral describes it as "partial 16S ribosomal RNA". It matches the Rfam family "Bacterial small subunit ribosomal RNA", at positions 524 to 776 of the family's 1533-position model. The record is from RNAcentral.